Molecule: ribosomal RNA, 350 nt
Filed under: Curtobacterium sp. MCBA15_007
Lineage: Bacteria; Bacillati; Actinomycetota; Actinomycetes; Micrococcales; Microbacteriaceae
Description: bacterial LSU rRNA
Rfam family: Bacterial large subunit ribosomal RNA
Source: RNAcentral
ACAGUGAACUUUGAGCAUGUUUGUGUAGGAUAGCUGGGAGGCUUUGAAACCAGGACGCCAGUUCUGGUGGAGCCAACCUUGAAAUACCAGCCUGACCUGUUUGAGGUUCUAACUUCGACCCCUUAUCGGGGUUAAGGACACUGUGUGGUGGGUAGUUUGACUGGGGCGGUCUCCUCCCAAAGCGUAACGGAGGAGCACAAAGGUGGGCUAAGCAUGGUCGGACAUCAUGCGGUUAGUGUAAUGGCACAAGCCCGCUUAACUGCGAGACAGACACGUCGAGCAGGUACGAAAGUAGGUCAUAGUGAUCCGGUGGUUCUGUAUGGAAGGGCCAUCGCUCAACGGAUAAAAGG